Molecule: ribosomal RNA, 449 nt
Filed under: uncultured bacterium
Lineage: Bacteria
Description: partial 16S ribosomal RNA
Rfam family: Bacterial small subunit ribosomal RNA
Source: RNAcentral
AACGAACGCUGGCGGCAUGCCUAACACAUGCAAGUCGAACGAGACCUUCGGGUCUAGUGGCGCACGGGUGCGUAACGCGUGGGAAUCUGCCCUUGGGUUCGGGAUAACAGUUGGAAACGACUGCUAAUACCGGAUGAUGACUUCGGUCCAAAGAUUUAUCGCCCAGGGAUGAGCCCGCGUAGGAUUAGCUUGUUGGUGAGGUAAAGGCUCACCAAGGCGACGACCCUUAGCUGGUCUGAGAGGAUGAUCAGCCACACUGGGACUGAGACACGGCCCAGACUCCUACGGGAGGCAGCAGUGGGGAAUAUUGGACAAUGGGCGAAAGCCUGAUCCAGCAAUGCCGCGUGAGUGAUGAAGGCCUUAGGGUUGUAAAGCUCUUUUACCCGGGAUGAUAAUGACAGUACCGGGAGAAUAAGCCCCGGCUAACUACGUGCCAGCAGCCGCAGUAA